This 161-nucleotide ribosomal RNA is filed under the name uncultured Pseudomonas sp. Its description in RNAcentral is "partial 16S ribosomal RNA". It matches the Rfam family "Bacterial small subunit ribosomal RNA", at positions 369 to 525 of the family's 1533-position model. The record is from RNAcentral. Lineage: Bacteria; Pseudomonadati; Pseudomonadota; Gammaproteobacteria; Pseudomonadales; Pseudomonadaceae.
GANUNGNCGAGCCUGAUCAGCCAUGCCGCGUGUGUGAAGAAGGUCUUCGGAUUGUAAAGCACUUUAAGUUGGGAGGAAGGGCAGUAAGUUAAUACCUUGCUGUUUUGACGUUACCAACAGAAUAAGCACCGGCUAACUUCGUGCCAGCAGCCGCGGUAAAU